RNAcentral lists this ribosomal RNA (1336 nucleotides) under human gut metagenome. RNAcentral's name for it is "bacterial LSU rRNA". It matches the Rfam family "Bacterial large subunit ribosomal RNA", at positions 651 to 1983 of the family's 2925-position model. The record is from RNAcentral.
UGUCAUGAGACACGUAGCCGCAGUGAAAGCGAGCCUGAAUAGGGCGCACAGUCAGUGGGGGUAGACGCGAAACCAAGUGAUCUACACUUGGCCAGGAUGAAGUCCCGGUAACACGGGAUGGAGGUCCGCACCAAUAAGCGUUGAAAAGCUUCUGGAUGAGCCGAGUGUAGGAGUGAAAGGCCAAUCAAACUUGGAGAUAGCUCGUACUCCCCGAAAGGCAUUUAGGUGCCGCGUCGGAUGGUCACCGUGAGAGGUAGAGCGACCGAUAGGACAAGAGGGCUUCACCGCCUAUCGAGUCCUGACGAACUCCGAAUGCUCACGGUCUGCAGUCCGGCAGUAAGGGGGCGGGUGCUAAGGUCCGUCCCCGAGAGGAGAAGAAUCCAGACCGCCGUCUAAGGUCCCGGAGUUCUGCCUGAGUUAGUCUAACGAAGUCUGGUCCCUAUGACAGCUAGGAUGUUGGCUUGGAAGCAGCCAUUCAUUCAAAGAGUGCGUAACAGCUCACUAGUCGAGGGUCCGGGCAUGGAUAAUAAUCGGGUAUAAGGCAGACACCGAAGGCGCGGGAUAGCAUUUAAGAAAGUAUCGGUAGGGGAGCAUACUCACAGCGUUGAAUGGUGUACGUAAGUUAUCCUGGAGCGGUGAGUAAAGCAAAUGUAGGAAUAAGUAACGAUAAGGAGGGUUAGAUUCCCUCCCGCUGUAAGACCAAGGUUUCCCGGGCAAUGCCAAUCAGCCCGGGGUCAGUCGGGUCCUAAGUCUAAGCCGAACGGCGAUGGCGAUGGCAGAGACGGUUAAUAUUCCGUCACUGCCGCAUGGGGCGACGUGGAGACGGAGCAGUGAAACCACCGCGGGGCGACGGAAGUCCCCGUUGAAGAGUGUAGGUGUUGAGGAUGGCAGGCAAAUCCACCAUCCGAGCUGAACUUGAUAGUAUGGAGUCUUCUUCGGAAGAAUCCAAUAGUGUGGGUAAUCAUACUCCCGAGAAAAUCCGCUAAGCUUAACCCAUGCGGCACCCGUACCGCAAACGGACACACGUGGUCGGGUAGAACAUACUAAGGCGUUGAGAGAUUCAUGGUUAAGGAACUAGGCAAAUUGACCCUGUAACUUCGGGAUAAAGGGUCCUCGUGAUGAGCGAGGCGCAGAGAAUAGGUCCAGGCAACUGUUUAACAAAAACACAGGGCUGUGCAAACUCGAAAGAUGACGUAUACAGCCUGACACCUGCCCGGUGCCGGAAGGUUAAGAGGAGAUGUCACCAGCAAUGGGAAGCAUUGAAUUGAAGCCCCGGUAAACGGCGGCCGUAACUAUAACGGUCCUAAGGUAGCGAAAUUCCUUGUCGGGUAAGUUC